UGACCGCUGGCGGCGUGCCUCAUACAUGCAAGUCGAGCGAACAGACGCGGAGCUUGCUCCUCUGACGUUAGCGGCGGACGGGUGAGUAACACGUGGAUAACCUACCUAUAAGACUGGGAUAACUUCGGGAAACCGGAGCUAAUACCGGAUAAUAUAUUGAACCGCAUGGUUCAAUAGUGAAAGACGGUUUUGCUGUCACUUAUAGAUGGAUCCGCGCCGCAUUAGCUAGUUGGUAAGGUAACGGCUUACCAAGGCGACGAUGCGUAGCCGACCUGAGAGGGUGAUCGGCCACACUGGAACUGAGACACGGUCCAGACUCCUACGGGAGGCAGCAGUAGGGAAUCUUCCGCAAUGGGCGAAAGCCUGACGGAGCAACGCCGCGUGAGUGAUGAAGGUCUUCGGAUCGUAAAACUCUGUUAUUAGGGAAGAACAAAUGUGUAAGUAACUAUGCACGUCUUGACGGUACCUAAUCAGAAAGCCACGGCUAACUACGUG
This 495-nucleotide ribosomal RNA is filed under the name uncultured bacterium. Its description in RNAcentral is "partial 16S ribosomal RNA". It matches the Rfam family "Bacterial small subunit ribosomal RNA", at positions 30 to 507 of the family's 1533-position model. The record is from RNAcentral.